GAUGAAGAACGCAGCAAAAUGCGAUAAGUAAUGUGAAUUGCAGAAUUCAGUCAAUCAUCGAAUCUUUGAACGCACAUUGCGCCCGCCAGUAUUCUGGCGGGCAUGCCUGUUCGAGCGUCAUUUCAACCCUCAAGCACAGCUUGGUGUUGGGACUCGCGUUAAUUCGCGUUCCCCAAAUUGAUUGGCGGUCACGUCGAGCUUCCAUAGCGUAGUAGUAAAACCCUCGUUACUGGUAAUCGUCGCGGCCACGCCGUUAAACCCCAACUUCUGAAUGUUGACCUCGGAUCAGGUAGGAAUACCCGCUGAACUUAAGCAUAUCAAUAAGCGGAGGA
This 332-nucleotide unclassified non-coding RNA is filed under the name soil metagenome. RNAcentral describes it as "partial contains 5.8S ribosomal RNA, internal transcribed spacer 2, and large subunit ribosomal RNA". The stretch from base 1 to 120 matches the Rfam family "5.8S ribosomal RNA", at positions 35 to 154 of the family's 154-position model. The record is from RNAcentral.